CGAUAACCACUCCGGCACGUCCACUUUUU
This 29-nucleotide small RNA is filed under the name Arabidopsis thaliana (thale cress). RNAcentral's name for it is "ATSL059470". Lineage: Eukaryota; Viridiplantae; Streptophyta; Magnoliopsida; Brassicales; Brassicaceae. The record is from RNAcentral.